GCACCCGAAGCUCAACUGGCCGAGCACGCGGAUUCUAGCACCGUGGGUUGAGGGUUCGACUCCCUCCGGGUGCGCCA
This 77-nucleotide transfer RNA is filed under the name marine sediment metagenome. Its description in RNAcentral is "tRNA-OTHER". It matches the Rfam family "tRNA". Rfam says of the family: Transfer RNA (tRNA) molecules are approximately 80 nucleotides in length. Their secondary structure includes four short double-helical elements and three loops (D, anti-codon, and T loops). The record is from RNAcentral.